UACAUGUGGGGCAAGCGUUGUUCGGAAUUACUGGGCAUAAAGGGUGCGUAGGCGGCGGUAUAAGUCAGCGGUGAAAUCCUUCGGCCCAACCGGAGAACUGCCGUUGAUACUGUGCUGCUUGAGUGCGUGAGGGGUGGCUGGAACGAGUGGUGUAGCGGUGAAAUGCGUAGAUAUCACUCGGAACACCCAAGGCGAAGGCAGGCCACUGGCACGCAACUGACGCUGAGGCACGAAAGCGUGGGGAGCAAACAGGAUUAGAUACCCUGGUAGUCCACGCUGUAAACGAUGAGCACUAGAUCGCUGGGGAGCUAUCUUUGGCGGUCGCAGACAAUUUGUUAAGUGCUCCGCCUGGGGAGUAUGGUCGCAAGACUGAA
RNAcentral lists this ribosomal RNA (374 nucleotides) under uncultured bacterium. Its description in RNAcentral is "bacterial SSU rRNA". It matches the Rfam family "Bacterial small subunit ribosomal RNA", at positions 524 to 898 of the family's 1533-position model. The record is from RNAcentral.